UACGACUACAUAUCAGGCAUAUCAAUAAGCGGAGGAAAAGAAACUAACUAGGAUUCCCUCAGUAACGGCGAGUGAAGCGGGAAGAGCUCAAAUUUGAAAUCUUAAAGGGUUUCCCUUUACGAAUUGUAGUUUAAAGAAGUGUUUUCUGUUGGAGUUUCGGUAAAAGUUCUUUGGAAUAGGACAUCAUAGAGGGUGAGAAUCCCGUAUUUGACCGUUACUUUCCAGCUGUGUGAUACACUUUCAAAGAGUCGGAUUGUUUGGGAAUGCAGUCCAAGAUGGGUGGUAAAUUUCAUCUAAAGCUAAAUAUUGGCGAGAGACCGAUAAGCGAACAAGUACCGUGAGGGAAAGAUGAAAAGAACUUUGAAAAGAGAGUUAAACAGUACGUGAAAUUGUCAAAAGGGAAGCGUUUGACACCAGUGUUGUUUAGUUGAAAAUCAAUUAAAUAGUCUUUCGAUUCUAAGUAGUAUUGACCUUAUCAGCUUGCUGCUUUUUUCUCAGAAAUUAUUGAAUGCACUUUUCAGUUAACAAGUCAACAUCAAUUUCUUUUGUUGUAAAAAGGGUAAGAGGAAGGUGGCUUGCGCUUCGGCUCAAGUGUUUAUAGCCUUUUAUCUCCUGCAAUCGGAGAGAUUGAGGUCUGCAGCGUAGAUCCUUCGGGGUUAGAUACAUUGGUGCUAAGCUAUAGCCUUGUAUAGACAACUUGUUGACUAUGCUCAGUCAUGUAGCUUACUCGCUUGUAGUAUUUUACCUACGCUUAGGAUGUUGAAUCUGUGCGAGACUAC
RNAcentral lists this ribosomal RNA (779 nucleotides) under uncultured Neocallimastigales. Its description in RNAcentral is "partial large subunit ribosomal RNA". It matches the Rfam family "Eukaryotic large subunit ribosomal RNA", at positions 24 to 644 of the family's 3401-position model. The record is from RNAcentral. Lineage: Eukaryota; Fungi; Neocallimastigomycota; Neocallimastigomycetes; Neocallimastigales.